GACGAACCGUGCGAACGUUAUUCGGAAUCACUGGGCUUAAAGCGCGUGUAGGCGGGAGGGCGCGUCCGUCGCUGAAAUCCCCCGGCUCAACCGGGGAACGGGCGCGGAUACGACCUUCCUGGAGGGGCGUAGGGGGACCUGGAACUUCCGGUGGAGCGGUGAAAUGCGUUGAGAUCGGAAGGAACGCCCGUGGCGAAAGCGAGGUCCUGGACGCCUACUGACGCUGAGACGCGAAAGCCAGGGGAGCGAACGGG
RNAcentral lists this ribosomal RNA (254 nucleotides) under uncultured bacterium. RNAcentral describes it as "partial 16S ribosomal RNA". It matches the Rfam family "Bacterial small subunit ribosomal RNA", at positions 524 to 776 of the family's 1533-position model. The record is from RNAcentral.